RNAcentral lists this ribosomal RNA (375 nucleotides) under Arthroleptis wahlbergii (Wahlberg's forest frog). RNAcentral describes it as "partial 16S ribosomal RNA". It matches the Rfam family "Bacterial large subunit ribosomal RNA", at positions 2076 to 2611 of the family's 2925-position model. Lineage: Eukaryota; Metazoa; Chordata; Amphibia; Anura; Arthroleptidae. The record is from RNAcentral.
UAAGACGAGAAGACCCCAUGAAGCUUCAAAUAAGUAUCAACUGUUAACCUUACACCACCAGAUACCCAAUAGCUAUGACUACUAAUUUUUGGUUGGGGCGACCGCGGAGCAAAACAAAACCUCCACAAUGAAAAGACCUAAUCCCAUUAUUCAAGAACAACUGUUCUAACAAUCAACACAUUGACAUAAUUGACCCAAACCCCCCCCCCUUGAUCAAUGAACCAAGUUACUCUGGGGAUAACAGCGCUAUCUAUUUCAAGAGUACAUAUCGACAAAUGGGUUUACGACCUCGAUGUUGGAUCGGGGUAUCCCAGUGGUGCAGCCGCUACUAAAGGUUCGUUUGUUCAACGAUUAAAACCCCACGUGAUCUGAGUU